AUGUCUAAUUCUUUAUCUUCUCCGUUAUCUCCCGAGAAUGAAGUUCUAAAUUUUAAGCAAAGGGAGGGAGAAAAUCUGAAACACGCUUGGUAUAGAAUUUGCAAUGCUCAAAAUAGAUCUACCAGGAAGCAAUCUACUUCAGUUCUUCUUCGUAAUUUUUACGUAGGUGCUAAUCCUUGGUAUAGAUAUAUCCUUGAUAUCAUUACCGGAGGGAAUUUCUUGGGUAGCCAUACUUUUGAUUCUUAUAAUGCUUUAUUAGAUUUAUUUGGCACACCACCUCUUUUGAUUAAUGGAACUACGUUAACUUUGGAGCAUGUUAUGCAAAGACUUGAAAUUAUUGAGAAUAAAGUUUCUACCAUUGAAUCAAUUGAAAAUCUUGAUAAAAAGAUCCACAAUCAAAUUACCCAAUAUGGAUCUAAGGUAGGAAUGACUUUAAAAAAUAUUAAAAAAAAGAACCCAUAG
RNAcentral lists this ribosomal RNA (462 nucleotides) under Triticum aestivum (bread wheat). RNAcentral describes it as "partial small subunit ribosomal RNA". Lineage: Eukaryota; Viridiplantae; Streptophyta; Magnoliopsida; Poales; Poaceae. The record is from RNAcentral.